CUGUAUCUUUGUAGUGACUGGGUAUAUUAAUACACCAUCCAAAGUGUAUUUAAUAACUUCAUCAUGCUCAAAGGGAUAUUUCAUGUCUGCCUUGAAUAUCCCUUAAUGAAGUGGUACCUAAUGAAGGUGUUGUCUAAUGAAGUGGUACCUAAUGAAGGUUUUGUCUAAUGAAGUGGUACCUGAUGACGGUGUUGUCUAAUGAAGUGGUACCUAAUGAAGGUGUUGUCUAAUGAAGUGGUACCUGAUGAAGGUGUUGUCUAAUGAAGUGGUACCUAAUGAAGGUUUUGUCUAAUGAAGUGGUACCUGAUGACGGUGUUGUCUAAUGAAGUGGUACCUAAUGAAGGUGUUGUCUAAUGAAGUGGUACCUGAUGAAGGUGUUGUCUAAUGAAGUGGUACCUGAUGAAGGUGUUGUCUAAUGAAGUGGUACCUGAUGAAGGUGUUGUCUAAUGAAGUGGUACCUGAUGAAGGUGUUGUCUAAUGAAGUGGUACCUAAUGAAGGUGUUGUCUAAUGAAGUGGUACCUAAUGAAGGUGUUGUCUAAUGAAGUGGUACCUGAUGACGGUGUUGUCUAAUGAAGUGGUACCUGAUGACAGUGUUGUCUAAUGAAGUGGUACCUAAUGAAGGUGUUGUCUAAUGAAGUGGUACCUAAUGAAGGUGUUGUCUAAUGAAGUGGUACCUGAUGACGGUGUUGUCUAAUGAAGUGGUACCUGAUGACGGUGUUGUCUAAUGAAGUGGUACCUGAUGACGGUGUUGUCUAAUGAAGUGGUACCUGAUGACGGUGUUGUCUAAUGAAGUGGUACCUGAUGACGGUGUUGUCUAAUGAAGUGGUACCUGAUGACGGUGUUGUCUAAUGAAGUGGUACCUGAUGAAGGUGUUGUCUAAUGAAGUGGUACCUGAUGACGGUGUUGUCUAAUGAAGUGGUACCUGAUGACGGUGUUGUCUAAUGAAGUGGUACCUGAUGACGGUGUUGUCUAAUGAAGUGGUACCUGAUGAAGGUGUUGUCUAAUGAAGUGGUACCUGAUGAAGGUGUUGUCUAAUGAAGUGGUACCUGAUGACGGUGUUGUCUAAUGAAGUGGUACCUGAUGAAGGUGUUGUCUAAUGAAGUGGUACCUGAUGACGGUGUUGUCUAAUGAAGUGGUACCUGAUGACGGUGUUGUCUAAUGAAGUGGUACCUGAUGACGGUGUUGUCUAAUGAAGUGGUACCUGAUGACGGUGUUGUCUAAUGAAGUGGUACCUGAUGACGGUGUUGUCUAAUGAAGUGGUACCUGAUGACGGUGUUGUCUAAUGAAGUGGUACCUGAUGACGGUGUUGUCUAAUGAAGUGGUACCUGAUGACGGUGUUGUCUAAUGAAGUGGUACCUGAUGACGGUGUUGUCUAAUGAAGUGGUACCUGAUGACGGUGUUGUCUAAUGAAGUGGUACCUGAUGACGGUGUUGUCUAAUGAAGUGGUACCUGAUGACGGUGUUGUCUAAUGAAGUGGUACCUGAUGACG
Molecule: long non-coding RNA, 1490 nt
Organism: Oncorhynchus keta (chum salmon)
Lineage: Eukaryota; Metazoa; Chordata; Actinopteri; Salmoniformes; Salmonidae
Exons: 4
Source: RefSeq, a predicted model, not a curated record